CGGUGGCGCCGCAGGGCAGCCGUGCCCUGAGGGGACGGCGGCGGGGCCCGCCCGGAGCAGGGGAGGAGGGGAAGGCGCGUUUCGCCGCCAGCCCCUGUCUCCGAGGGCUGCUGUCCCCGCCGGGCACGGCCUCUCCCGGCCUCCCAACAGGAGAGCGAGGAGGGAGAGCCUGCUUGCUGUACGGCGAGCGAAGCGAGGCGCAGGCAGCCGACCCAGACCGGCAGCCCUCAGCUCUGACGCGCUACCUCACGCCCCCGCCGCCCUCAGCAAUCCUCACUUCGGCCCCGGGGAACGCUGUCCCCACGAGCUGUGCGAAACUGCAGAGCCACAAAGCCAGAGGGAUCCUGAAGAGCCAGCCUGGAAGGAGGCACGGCUGCACAUGAAAUACCAUACAACCUAACCUGCCCUCAAAACCACAGAGCCGUAGAAAGCUUUGCUACCAGCCCUUCUACUCCUCCAGCCCACAGAAGGAACCCUGCCCUCGCCUGUCCUCCUACAUUUGGCUACGACAUUAACAUGGCAAUUUGGUGACGAUGAGGGAAUCACCUUCAACAAUUUUACAGGCAAUAAAGCUCUAAAGAUGGGUUUGAAUUGUCAAAAGGGAACUUCUUCACAGGGUACCUGGCCCAGCCCAGUGUCUUAGGCAGCUGAAGACUUUCCAUGAGGAGAUUCCUGCAGGUUUCUGUGAAGAGCUCUCCCACAUCCCUUGACACCAGCCAUCACUAUCCAGUCAGAAGACAGGCCUGAGGUGAAAAGACUGCCUUCUUCCUUCUGCCAGAGAAAUCCUGUUUCACUCUGGCCCAGGCUGUAAACUGAAAUAUGUGCUUCCCGUGCCGUGGCUCAAGCUUCCCAGGAAAACUUCAACAACAUCCAAAGUAAUAACUGAGCACAAGCAUCACAGGCUAAGACCAGGCUUACUGUGGGAAUGGCUGGAUGCUGGCAGAGAGAUUGGCUGCCAUGGGAGGUGAGGACAGCCAAGUCAAACAACCGCCGUCUGGUCCCAUGUCCUCCUCCUCCUCCUCCUCCUUGUGAGCAGCAGCCCUCCCACUGCUCACCAUGAGGCCAGGAUUGGGGUGCUCUCAUCAUCGGCCCCACUAGCCAAGAGGUGAGGGACCCCUUCCACGCCUGACUUUGCCAGGACUUUGGGAUCCAAUUUGCCCCAGCAUGAUGCUCAAGUGCACCUGACUGCAUGUACUAUAAAUCACUCUCACUUUCCUACUUGAGCCCUGGGAAUUUGCACACAAAAAGCCCCAUUAGCCUCAGUCAAAGGAAAUUUAGAUUGCCGGUGUUAAAUAACCAGAAGAAGACAGGUAAGCUGUGAGUAGAACAUGUUUCCCACUUAAAAGUGAAACGUUACUGGUGUCAUAGGAUUUUUUUUCUAACCUGUUUAUAACAGUUGUACUGCUCUGUUUGCUGGGUUUUCACAAGAAUGUUGCAAUUGAACUUCUGUAAUGACAGGAAAUUGAAUUUCAGGAAAGGUAAAAUGUCAUGCUAUUUUUUUCAGUUUUAAAUAUUUUUACAGAAGGUGUUCAGCGUUAUUCAUAGAAACAUGAUUUCACCAUCACCAAAUUAAUUUAAUUUGGUUUAUGCUGCUAAUAAUAUUAACCAACCGGAUGAUAAUGGCAUAGAGCUACAAAUAGAACCACUCCUCUACAAGUCCUCACCCUCUUCGUGGUUUGAGCUAUCAGGUCCUCUGUGGUAAAGAGUAGGUCAUAGUUAAUUACCUUCAACUAACUCCUGAUUUAUUGAAGCACAAUCAAGGUUCAACUUACCCCUUGCUUUAUAUGCUGGACUGUUUGAACCAUUAGUCUGUAACCCUGCUGAUUUAAACAGGCUAGGAAGUUCCAUUGUAGGAGGGAAAAGAGAGGCCAAGUGGAACAAGCACAGGUAGAAAUACAUUCUUGACAUGCGUUUGCUUGUCAAGGCACGUACCUGUGCUUUACAUAUGUCAGUCACAGGGGAAAUUCAGAAGUUCUUGUGUGAAAGCGCAGAAGUAUCAGUAUGCAAAUAGGGAAGUGUGACUAAGUAGUCUCACUGCUCCCAGUAUUUCACAUGAAAAGUGCCAGUACUCACAGUGCAAAUGUAGCAUGCUGUGUAUGCCCUAUCAAGCCGAGUGUAUGUUUUGGCGUGUAUGGAUGCAUCAAAUCUAAGCCAUAAGGAGCACUUUUCCUUAGUUAAACAAUGUUUGAAUUAGUUGCUCCUUGUGAUUUCCUACUGAAUUAAAUCUUAUGGUGUAAAAGGGGUUUUCAGCUUUCAGGAUGGAUCAGAGCUGCCUCUGAGACGUUUGCAGUCAGAAAAAGAUAUUCAAAUGCACACAAUGCUCAGGAGGAAAACAUCCUAGGAAAAGGGAUUCAGCAGCAGCAGCAAGAAGGAAGUGGGUUGGUUUGAAGCAGAAAUUUCUCACCUUUUUCCAUUUGCAGAGCUGAGAGUAGCUAACUCUUGUCUCCUGCCAGGGGGCUGGGAGACCCCUGAGCAGCAAACCCAGAGGUGGUCCAGGAGCCCACAAAGACAAUCUGAAAACCAGUGUGGGGUAAUGAGCUUUGCAGGUGUGUUCAGAGUGAUUCUAUCCCAUGCUGGGGACCUGUAUGUCUGGGUGCAUGAAGGUGACAGCGCCACCAGGGCUAUGGAGGAGGGUUUGGGUCUGGAAGCAGGAGGCGAAGGAGAGAGCUGGCAGGUGGGGAGAUGCUCAGCCAAGAAAGAUGAGAGAAGGGAUUCAUAAUAAGGUGCAAUAAGAAACAUGUUGGAUUUCAGAGACUGACACAUGCUGUCAAUAAACCUGUGUGUUUUAGAGAGAAAAGGAAUGAAAAUUAAUUUUUAAGACCCUAAAAAAAAGAAUAUUUUGGAGCAAAGAUGUAUUUCAUUUGGUUAUAAUCUGCUGAAUUAAGAUAUAUUUCAACUUGACUGAAGACUCCCAAGCACAGCUCAUAGAGGAAACCUGAUCACUUUUGGCAGAGGGAAGAAAAACCGUCUGUUAGAACUAAGUUCUCUCAGCUGGCAUGUCUAUUGCCAGAGAUCAAUGAAAACCAGAGGAUAAAUAAAAGCAGAUUUUGAAAAUGAACCGAUAGACAUUCAGGCACCAAUUUUUUUUUUCUAUGUGUCUUCUUUUUCUGCCUUGGAGAAAAUGAAAUUGAAAUGUAU
Pipra filicauda (Wire-tailed manakin) is the source of this 3138-nucleotide long non-coding RNA. RefSeq lists it as uncharacterized. NCBI's taxonomy places the organism in Eukaryota, Metazoa, Chordata, Aves, Passeriformes, Pipridae. The transcript is spliced from 3 exons. The record is from RefSeq and is a predicted model, not a curated record.